Molecule: ribosomal RNA, 428 nt
Filed under: uncultured bacterium
Lineage: Bacteria
Description: bacterial SSU rRNA
Rfam family: Bacterial small subunit ribosomal RNA
Source: RNAcentral
GUAGGGAAUAUUGCAUAAUGGAGGAAACUCUGAUGCAGCGACGCCGCGUGAGUGAUGAAGGCCUUCGGGUCGUAAAGCUCUGUCGCAGGGGAAUAUCACAAUGAAGGUACCCUGUAAGAAAGGAUCGGCUAACUUCGUGCCAGCAGCCGCGGUAAGACGAGGGAUCCUAGCGUUGUUCGGAAUCAUUGGGCGUAAAGCGGAUGUAGGUGGCUAUGUAAGUCAGAUGUGAAAGCCUGGGGCUCAACCCCAGAAGUGCAUUUGAUACUGCGUAGCUUGAGUGUCGGAGAGGUUACUAGAAUUGUUGGUGUAGUGGUGAAAUACGUAGAUAUCAACAGGAAUACCGGAGGCGAAGGCGGGUAACUGGCCGAACACUGACACUGAGAUCCGAAAGCGUGGGGAUCAAACAGGAUUAGAAACCCGGGUAGUCC